This 72-nucleotide transfer RNA is filed under the name Dipodomys ordii (Ord's kangaroo rat). It matches the Rfam family "tRNA". Rfam says of the family: Transfer RNA (tRNA) molecules are approximately 80 nucleotides in length. Lineage: Eukaryota; Metazoa; Chordata; Mammalia; Rodentia; Heteromyidae. The record is from Rfam by way of RNAcentral.
GGGAAGUUGGCUCAGUGGUAGAGCGCUUGCCUUGCAUGCCUGAGGCCCUGGGUUCAAUUCCUCAGCACCCCA